CCUACGGGAGGCAGCAGUGGGGAAUAUUGCGCAAUGGGCGAAAGCCUGACGCAGCGACGCCGCGUGAGGGAUGAAGGUCUUCGGAUCGUAAACCUCUGUCAGCAGGGAAGAACGGUCACUGUGCUAAUCAGCAGUGAAUUGACGGUACCUGACCAAGAAGCCCCGGCUAACUACGUGCCAGCAGCCGCGGUAAUACGGAGGGGGCAAGCGUUAUCCGGAUUUACUGGGUGUAAGGGGAGCGUAGACGGCAGGGCAAGUCUGGAGUGAAAAGUGGGGGCUCAACCCCCGGACUGCUCUGGAAACUGGCAGGCUGGAGUGCAGGAGAGGUGAGUGGAAUUCCUAGUGUAGCGGUGAAAUGCGUAGAGAUUAGGAAGAACACCAGUGGCGAAGGCGACUUACUGGACUGUAACUGACGUUGAGGCUCGAAAGCGUGGGGAGCAAACAGGAUUAGAUACCCCAGUAGUC
This 465-nucleotide ribosomal RNA is filed under the name uncultured bacterium. Its description in RNAcentral is "partial 16S ribosomal RNA". It matches the Rfam family "Bacterial small subunit ribosomal RNA", at positions 338 to 795 of the family's 1533-position model. The record is from RNAcentral.